CACGGAGCGAGACUGCAGAUUCUCUGCUUGUGUGCCACGUGCAGCAUUCUGCAGCUUCGCUCUGUAUU
RNAcentral lists this microRNA precursor (68 nucleotides) under Oreochromis niloticus (Nile tilapia). RNAcentral's name for it is "microRNA oni-mir-10580 precursor". Lineage: Eukaryota; Metazoa; Chordata; Actinopteri; Cichliformes; Cichlidae. The record is from miRBase by way of RNAcentral.